Molecule: transfer RNA, 102 nt
Organism: Penicillium solitum
Lineage: Eukaryota; Fungi; Ascomycota; Eurotiomycetes; Eurotiales; Aspergillaceae
Rfam family: tRNA
About the family: Transfer RNA (tRNA) molecules are approximately 80 nucleotides in length. Their secondary structure includes four short double-helical elements and three loops (D, anti-codon, and T loops). Further hydrogen bonds mediate the characteristic L-shaped molecular structure. tRNAs have two regions of fundamental functional importance: the anti-codon, which is responsible for specific mRNA codon recognition, and the 3' end, to which the tRNAs corresponding amino acid is attached (by aminoacyl-tRNA synthetases). tRNAs cope with the degeneracy of the genetic code in two manners: having more than one tRNA (with a specific anti-codon) for a particular amino acid; and 'wobble' base-pairing, i.e. permitting non-standard base-pairing at the 3rd anti-codon position.
Source: Rfam
GCAAGUGUGGCCGAGUGGUUAAGGCGUCGUGUUUAGGUCGUCAUUCAUAUGAUUACAAAACCGCGAUUCUCCGGAGCGUGAGUUCGAAUCUCACCGCUUGCA